CACAGAAGGGUCCAGUGUUAAAAAAUAUCAAAAAUAGUUUGCCACAAAAUUAUUCCAAGUUAUGUAUUUUUCCAGACAGGAAAAUGUGUUUA
Long non-coding RNA from Melanotaenia boesemani (Boeseman's rainbowfish), 92 nucleotides. RefSeq lists it as uncharacterized. The transcript is spliced from 3 exons. NCBI's taxonomy places the organism in Eukaryota, Metazoa, Chordata, Actinopteri, Atheriniformes, Melanotaeniidae. The record is from RefSeq and is a predicted model, not a curated record.